CCCAGCGUGAGCGCCCAGAGGUGCAGCGAGUGGACCGAGCGGACCGACUCCACCGACAGCAGAACUUCCUUCACUGACUUAAACUCGAUGCCUUUGGGAGAACCUGCAAAAAAAGAAGGUCUCCGACCACGUGGAUGAACGCCGCCCGGACACUGGUGCUGCCGUGGGCGCCGCCCAAGAGGGAAUGGCUGUGAGGGGCCUGGGGGCUUUGGGCCUCGUCGAUGUGCUGGUAGCCGCGGCCGUGGGCGUGGAAGGUGGUGGAGUGAUGUAGGAUGUACGCCAUGCUGACGAAGGUUCCCAAAACACAAAAGAUCUCACCGGCUGGACGAUAGCAUGCCGAAGCAACAGGGUUAAUGUGAGCUGGAGUCGGUGGUGAUCUCACCUGAGCGGUGCCAUCCGAAGGUCAUGUUCUUGGUGGCGGGUCUGGAGGAAAUCCACAAGGAGAAGAUGCUAACCAGCAUGCUGCCCAGGUCAGUCAAGAG
Long non-coding RNA from Syngnathus acus (greater pipefish), 482 nucleotides. RefSeq lists it as uncharacterized. NCBI's taxonomy places the organism in Eukaryota, Metazoa, Chordata, Actinopteri, Syngnathiformes, Syngnathidae. The transcript has 3 exons. The record is from RefSeq and is a predicted model, not a curated record.